Homo sapiens (human) is the source of this 5848-nucleotide long non-coding RNA. NCBI's taxonomy places the organism in Eukaryota, Metazoa, Chordata, Mammalia, Primates, Hominidae. The record is from Ensembl.
GGGACCGUCUGUAGUGAGAAAGGAAGUAGAGGCUUCAACUGCAAGGCAGCAGAAUGCCAAAAGCCUGCACAGAAGCAUCUUGCCAAGGAGAUGGAAAGCGGCCUCUCACAGGGGACCUUUAGUAUCCCUGAAGGACCAAAAUGCACUCCUAAGUCCUGGGAGUCUCAAUGAUAACGAGCAAAUGAUGGGUGAAGCUCCACAACCAUCUCUCUCAGCCUUUGGAUGAGGGAGAUCUAAUAAGCACUGUUCUGGCAUCCUGACCUAGAGGAAUUUUAAAGCUUUGCAAAGGCUUGUUAAGAGACUACAACCUAUUUUGAGUGACUAAAAUCCUGCCGAUUUCAAUGUUACAGGCUUCUGGGAAACAGCUCAGGUAGCAAAAAUGCCGGCACAUGAUCCCUGGUUUCGCAGCUGGCAUUCUGACUAACCAGGGAUUGUUCAGACAAACAGCUGCAUCUCUCUGAGCCUCAGUUUUCUCACCUAUGUAUACCCAUUAUGGACACACUUUCUUUAGGGUUUCGGUAGUUCUACAACGAAAUAUGUAUAAAGUGUGGUGGAGAGCAGGUGUUUGAAAAAUGCUCAUUCCCUUCCCUGUCCUGCUGUAUAUCAUUCAUACACAGAUUAGUGUCUGAUUCUGAGCUGGUUGUACCAGGAUGAGACAAUUGAGAAGUAAAUCUGAAGAUAAAAGCAAAGCGAAGAGCUCAAGUGAGAGAUUUAUUAUUUCAUCUUUUUGGAUGGAUUAUUUGGAUAUUUCAGGACAAGAGAAAAUCCCCACUUUAUGUUUCCUAUCAAUGAGAUGCUUCUUGAGCUAUAGGCUUUCUUCCUGGUUCAUAAACCUUUUGUAUGACAGUCAAUAAGGAUUUGUGGACCACACUGGAGCAAGGAGAGCAGCUGAAUUACCUGGAGGAACAUUUUGGGUUUGAACAGCAGUUCAUAUUUUGUCUAUGCAGAAAGCGCUAUUGGAAAAUUUUAAAUUGAGUGGCAUUAUACAAAAGAUCUCCUUCAGUUUUGAAGUCUCCAUUUGAGUUCCCAAGUCUGCCUUUUUGGGUGCCAGGUCCUUCAGAAGUCAUAUGGAUUCAAGCAGGAAACAGACUCUCAGGAGCAAAACUGCGAAUGCCACCCAGUCUGCAGAUCCCCACAAAGGAAGGAAACAUCAUGAGCAUACAAUUUCUUCCUCUCCCUGUCCCAUGACUUCACCCUGUCCUCUUCGGCCAGCCAACAAUCUCCACACUUCAGCCCACUCCAAAAUCCUUAACAACCCUAGUGCCAAACUCCUCAGGCAGACGGACUUGAAGUUUUCUCCAACUCCUCAUUCAGUGACCCUAUAAUUAAACUUCUUUUUCUGCAGCAACCCCAUGACUUGGUAUAUUGAUUUGCCACGUGCAUCGGGCAAUGGGCCUGUUAUGGUUGUAAUUUUGAGAGUAGAAUACAUGAAGAUAAAACAUGUUCCAAUUGAUGGCAAUAUGUGCUCCAGAAAGCACUGAGCCUAUGUGAAGCCUUCAGCAAGGGGUCCUUGAAAAGGAGUGACACCAAGCCAUUUAUUAAAAGUAAGGAAUGGUUACAUAGAGAGUAAGGGAUGGUUACACAGAUUCAGGAAUGGGCUUAAACUGAAAACUAUAAAAAUUACAGGAAAGUCUGUGUCUGACAAUGAAGAGUUGAUUAAGAAGAAAGACUAGCAUCCAAAGCAAGGCUUCAACUGGCUCUUCUGGAAGAAAACGCCUAAGAGGACCUACAACAGAGACACUGGGGCAUAAAACAUGGCAGGACAGAUCAAUUCUGCUGCUGUGUAGCAAUGAUGCAGGGCAUAUAACAAAGCCAAGCAUAGUGUACAGAACAAGAAACCCUUGUGUUCUCAAAAAACAAAAAUUAUGUCUCUGUGUUCUGGCAACAUAAUCAGAAAGUGUGGGUGACAGCCAUCUUGUUUAUGGAAUGGUUCCACCAAUGCUUCAUCCCAGAAAUGACAAAAUACUUGGAAGAGGAAGGGUUGAAAUUUAAGUCCUAUUAAUAAUAGACAACGCACUUGGCCAUCCUGAAUCUGUUUGCUGUGAAAAUGAAAAGUCAAGGUCAUAUUUUUACCUCCAAAUACAAUCUUAUUGCUUCAGCUCAUUUACCUGGGCAUCAUUUGAUUUGUCAAGUCAAUAUACAACUGCCUGAUAUUUGAUCACACAUGAUCAGCAAUUAAUGCAAACACCAAUCUGAACAUAAUGCAGUGCUGAUGCAACAGCAUUUAUCAAAGCUGCAAUGAAUGGAUUACAACCAGAAGCUGUAAAUGGCUACUGGACAGACUUAUGGAGUGCUGACCUGAAUAAUUUAAAAGGCUUUCUGGGGAGCAUCAGAGAAAUUAGGAAGACCAUUCGUGAAGCAAGACAAGUUGGUGAAGAAAGAUUUGCCAACAUGCUUGGAAGCAUGAAAGAACAUAUUGAAGGCCACUGAGAAGCAUUAACAAAUGAAGAAUUGGAAGAACUUGUUGAGUCCUCUGCAGAGGAAAAGGAAGAUAAAGAAGAACUGAAGCUGAACCAGCAAUAUGAAAAUUACCAAAAUUUGCCAAAGUGUUUUGAGUUGCACAGACUCUAAAGGACAAAAUUGUGGAAUAUGAUUCUUAAAUGGAACACAGCAUUAAAGUCACCCAUAUGAUCAAUGAAGGAUUAAAACCUCUGCAGAAACACUUUGAUGAGUUAAAAAGAGACAACACCUUCUGAUUACAGUGUUCUUCCAGAAAGUUUCAACCAAAAAACCUUCUACUAUUGAGGAUUCCCCACCAUCAACAUCGCCUGAUCCUGACAUUCAUCCAUUGACGUUGUCAAGGCUCGAGGAACCAGAAUCACUCAAAGCAGAAGGUCAACAGUAGCCUAACACUGCAUCACAAUGCCUAUAACGCUCACCUCACUUCAUCUCAUCAGGUCACAGCUUGCCAGCUAUUAUCACCUUCUGGAACCAUCCCUGGUAAAAGCGUUCAAAACCUUGGUGACCCAAUGAGAAUUCUCCAGGUCUUCUCGGGCCCUGUUCUUGCCCAUUAUGCCAUCUGAUUAGCAGGGCACACGCUGGGCUCUCAGAAAAAUAGGUCUUUACAGUGUGGUAUAAUUAAGAGAGAACAAAAUCUGGAUUCAGAAAGCCUACGUUUGAAUCCUGUCUCUGUGACUUACCAGUUAUGUGACCUAAUAAAAUCACAGUCCCACUGGGCGUCAUCUUCCUCACCUGAAAACUAGAUAUUAAUGGCAUCCAGCUCAGUGGGGGCUUUGAAGGCUAAAUGAGAGAAUACAAAGCUAUUGUAUGAAAAAGCUUUGUGCACCUAUAUCACAUUGUGUAUGUCAUUGUACUAGGCAGCUCCUAAUUCAAGAGGGCUCCAUCAUCCCAAAUUGCUGCUCUUUAUUCCUAGCUUGAGAAGUGGAAGGAGGGAAAUAAUAAUAAUAUCUUUGAUAAUAAUGGUGGCUACUGUUUAUUAAGAGCUUACCUGUCACCAGGUGCUAUGCUAUAUGCUUUACAAAUAAUAUUUCAACCAGAUCUGACAACUCAAUGAGAUAGAAACUGAGGCUCAGAAAAAUCAGUCACAAAAUUGCUAAAUUGUCAAGCUGGGGUUUUGUAACGUAGUGCCCCCAUUGUUCUAGAGGUGGCUUUUUUUUUUUCCUCUCCCUCUUCUUUUCGUAUUCCUGGGCUCCCUGUUUCCUACUUAGCCCUUCAGAAAUGCAAGUAUAGCCUUUUACCUGCCCCGUCACAGACAUUCCAUACAGGUCAAGUUCUGUGUGCUCCAAGACAGAUCUCUUCUUGGACUAAAGCACAGCCGCCAUGGAACUCUCACCUCCAUGGGGUUGCCUCGGAACUUUCAUCCAUCAGGAGGGCUCAUGGAAAGCAUGCCCGUGUGAACACUUUUACAGCUUCCUUCUGCCCAGGAAGGCACCACCUCAACUGCCCAGUAGAUAAGACACCAAGCUAGCAGGUGUACCCCUGUCCUUACUCAUUUUCUUCGCAACCUUAUAUAAGUGCCUGCUUUCUGCUCCAGAGGUGGAGUGGCACAUUUAAAGGCGGAACAUUUUGUGCCCCUUCCCCAAGCUAACUUCAGAAUGAAUUCACUUAUUUUGUAUCAGACCUGGCUCUUGUUAAUUGGACUCUCAUGUGGAAAGCAACUAACCUGUUUCUUCGUUACAAUUUGAAUGUGUGUCCUUUCUGAUACCAAAGCCUGUGCUCUGAUAACUAUACAUGUUUCCCAGCAGCCAUUGUAUCGCCUUUGGCACACCUCAGCGGUCUACUUCCUGGCCCUUGGCAGGAAAGCUGCCCCGUACUCCUGCAGAGAAUAAAGUGGGAGCUUGUAUAAGGGACAAGAGUAAAGAACACUUGAGGUGCUGAAGAAGGCGAUGCCCCUCAGAUGGUGGGUUGGUCACUAGCAGCAGUGUAGCAUGCCUACUGGGGUCAUGUGUCUCAUCUUUAGGCCAACCCUGCUAAAAAAGCCAAAGCUAAGUGUGCCGAACACGCCAGUUACUGUUUUGGGUCUGCCUAGCACAUUUUCACCUAUCUUUUCUUCUGCUUUCGGCACUCCCUUUUGUUUGCAGAACUCCUUACCCAUUCCUUGAGGUUCUGAUGGAAAUACCAGCGAUGGUGCCCCACUUGCAACCUCUAUCUGAAGGGUGGGCAUGUGACCCAGGCUGCAUGUGUAACAGUCACCCAUGCCUUUGGCAGCACAUGUUAAUCUACUGGGGAUCUGACUCAAGAAGGCCAUUCAGAGCCCAUUCCCUGGACUGCUAUUUGUAGAAAGGAAAGAGAGAGUCUCUUCCUACCAGUGAUACCAAGUUGGCAUGUAAAUCUGAGGUUCCACCUUGCCCUUCAUCCUGCUAAAAUAGAGUAAGCACAUCUUCACGAAGAGGUAAUCAGGCCAACAUGCAGAAGAAAUUAUGAAAAAAAGAAAUUAUAAUUGAGAGAGAGAAACUGUCCACAUUGUUUCAGUUUGUAGAUCCAGCCUUGCUUGAGCCACAGUCUACCUCUGGCUUUCCCAUAGGCCCAAACCAACAAAUUUCCUUUUUUUUGAGUUGAGCUAAUAUGAACUUAUUAUAAGUUAGAGUAAGUUCUUAGAAUCAAAAGAAUCUUCAUUCAAUUGAUUUAAUAUAGUGAUGAAAGAUAGAAAUCCCAGAGGUAGAAAGUGAAAGUAUAUCAAUAGAUGAAGACUAUAUAAAUUAUAAGAUGGCUUCACUCCAAGACAAAAACGCAAAUAUGUAUUGCAAAGAAGGAACUGUGAACUGUGUUUUCUCCCUGGAUAUUUCUAUAAUUUCUACUUUAAAAAAGCAAACAUCCACAAGCUGUAGGGGAAAAAUACUCAAGUGACAAAAUAUUUUAAUAUGCUGCACAUUCAGACAUAGAUAAAGAUUCUCUGUUUUUCUUCUUACCGCUAGCUUGAGGUUUGUACAGAAAUACUGCCUGAGAAGUAUUUAUUAUCUUCCUCAUACCCUAUACCAAAAGCCAUAACAUAAACCAUUCAGAUCAUUUUAGAAAGUUAUUUAGUGGUGGGGGUUUUGAGGAUAAGCCUGAAAUCCUGAAGGUGAGUUUUGAUCUCAUUUAAAGUGCAGUCCAAACAGCAGCUUAGUGAAUCACAUCAAAUUAGCAACAUGAGGCAAUGCAGGACCAAUUUCUACAUUUUAAUUUUUCCUGCUUCUCCUACUGUGAAAUGCUAUUAAAGAAUGUGAGUAAAGCCCAACAAUGUAGAUCUUGGUGCUCUGGCCAGGUAAGACAACCAGUCUUUUUUUUUUUUUUUUGAGACAGAGUUUUGCUCUUGUCACCCAGUGUGGAGUGCAAUGGCGCAAUCUCGGCUCACUGCAACCUCUGCCUCCUUGGUUUAAGUAAUUCUCCUGCCUCAGCCUCCCGCGUA